This 264-nucleotide long non-coding RNA is filed under the name Fukomys damarensis (Damara mole-rat). Its description in RNAcentral is "lncRNA (ENSFDAG00000032057.1)". The record is from RNAcentral. Lineage: Eukaryota; Metazoa; Chordata; Mammalia; Rodentia; Bathyergidae.
UGGUGAUACACGUGGUGGUCACACACACCUACGGGAACCCGAGUGGGAGCAAGCAUUGCUUCUGAACGGAAAGAAGAAAGCUACCCCAAUGAGGAAGCCAACAGAGCACAGCGCCAUAUUAUACCAAGGAGUAGAGCCAGAUCCUCAAGCGAAGUGUGUACAAAGUCUUACCUCUGGACUUCUCAGUUUUCUGACGCACCAUUUCCUUUACUCGUAAGCCACUUCAAAUUAGAUCUUCCCUUCCUCCUCAACAUCAGUUCACAA